UUGAACGAAAAUAAUUAUUUGAAUGAAAAUAAAUUUCGCAGCUAGGUUCACAGGACACUUCACAGAGCUCUUAAUUCCCUUGCAAUUACUGCUACUUAAUCCCCUUCAUAUUUACUGCGUAAGUAAUGAGCAUAUUUUAUCGAAUAAUCGCGUUGCGAUGGAAUUGAUUUUUCUUAAUUCUUUCAAUGGAUAAGAUUCAGACCAACUGGUUCCGUGUUCACUCUCAAUAUCACAAGAAUAAAUGACCGAUGGAAAAUGGAAGUCGAUAUGGUGCCAUGUUUAGUUCUUCAGAAUUACACGUCUUUAAGUGGCUUCCGUGCUCGCAACGAAUACAAACUUAUCACUAUUGCAAACCUAUUGAAAGCCGACAGUACGAGAGAUGAAAAUAUUUUAUAUCGGGUUGGAUUUUACGAUGACAAGAAACGGCUACUUUAUGGUCAAUUAAAACCAAUUAUAAGAUUGGCAAAGACAUCACGAGACGUACACAAACAGCAUAAUUUGAAGUUACUUUAUAGAAUCGGUAUUCAUGCAUAAAUUAGACGACAUUAGAUUUCGACUGUUUCACCUUCGAGUUUCCAGAAUGGCUGUAUUUAUACAUAUGCUUCGUCGAAUUCAAUUUAAACUUGAAGAAGAAAAACUCCCAAAUCACUGGCACGCGAAUUUCAAUUUGUUAAAUAAAGUCAAUACGUCUGCAGUAAAUGAAAUUGCUAAAGAAUUAAAAAGGCUUAUCAAAGGAAUAAAGAUAACAUUGAAAGCGAUAUGAACAUCUUCAUAGAUAUUUUCAAAUUAAAAAAAACGUAUCAAAAUGACGAUUUCGAAAAUUUUGAAAAACAAUUGCUAUUGCUCAUUGUAAUUGGUUAUCUAUAAUAUACUCGAAAUAACAUACAUAUGAUUAAGAUCAAUCAACUUGAUUUAUCUUAACGCAUAUUUAUGCAACUUGAAUUAUCUGAGUGCAUAUUUAUAACAUAAAUUACACAUUCAAUCUGAAUAUGUAUAUAUUCAAGAUUUAUUGAAUACACAUUUCCUUCUAAAACUACAUUUCUACCGCUUCCUUUCAUAUGCUCUUAUGGCAAAUGAUUUGUGUCUUCAAUUUCUAUUAAAUAUUAAGACUUACUGAUUUUAUUCGGUUUGGUUGCCUAUCCAUUACAAAAUUUUGUCAAACGAAGAUAGACGGCUAUCGAAAGAUCAAAGCGCCUCUCUUCGUUGAUUUCAUGAUCGAGUUAAAAUUCUGAUAUUACCUUUCCACAUCCAUUCGUCUUCCCCUACCUCGGCAACUACCAAGUUAAACAAAAUUAAUAGCUUUUUAUCAGUUUAUUAUCAAUUAUUUAUUAUCAAUUAUUAUCAGUCAAGUAGUACUUGAAGUAGAAGCAAGAUUUUUAU
Long non-coding RNA from Phymastichus coffea, 1380 nucleotides. RefSeq lists it as uncharacterized. The record is from RefSeq and is a predicted model, not a curated record. The transcript is spliced from 4 exons. Lineage: Eukaryota; Metazoa; Arthropoda; Insecta; Hymenoptera; Eulophidae.